CCUUCAUUUCGUAUUUUAUUUUAUUCUAGGGACCAGUUUUGUGCCUAUGGUAAAAGCGUUCAAAAUCAUGGAGCAACGUCAUUUGGAAUGAUGGGAACAUGUUAAAAUCACCAUAAAUAUAAAGCAUGUCUUGAAAAUUAAUAAAAAUAAAUUUGCUUUAGGUCCAAAAAAAAUAUCUUUUUUUAUGUAUCCGUUCUUCUUCUCUCAGUCUUAUCCUUAGUGGUAUUGUUGUAACAGAAAAACAUCAGAGUCAAGGAUAGUUCAUAUAUAAUAAUGGUAAUUAUGUGGACUAGAGUCACCAUAAUGUUCUACAUUUUCAAGCUCAAUUGUUACACAUUUUUAUGUUAUUUCGGUCUACUACUUUACCAUAUAAUCUAGUGACAACUCUAUAUUUAUAACAUAUAUAUAAUUAGGAGUUUCAUUAUUGAACUCCUAUAUGUUCUAAAUUAUAAUGGAAACGUACAUAAACUGUAAAUUAUAACAAAAGGGGUGUCAACAUCGAAAUUUAUUUAAAUAAUUCAUGCUUAUGAUUCAUGAUUGAAGUCUUGACUUCAAGCUAAAGAAUCAGACUUUGCUGGCUGCUAUCUACCAUUUCAUUUAA
This 601-nucleotide long non-coding RNA is filed under the name Mytilus galloprovincialis (Mediterranean mussel). The record is from RNAcentral. Lineage: Eukaryota; Metazoa; Mollusca; Bivalvia; Mytilida; Mytilidae.